CCUCCCAGCUCAGCAGCACUGGGCAGCGCCAGGCCUGUCACCAGCCUGGCCCUGGGGAUCCAGCGCCUGUUUAUGAGGCCAGCCAGCCCCGUCACAGCCGCGCCCACGGAGGACGACAGAUGCAGUUCGUGGGGGAGGAAGCUGCCCGAGCCGCCUGUGAUUUUACCCUGGCCAGCGCUGAGUCCACUCCAGAAGGCCUCUGGGUCUCAGCAGGUCUUGUUCCCACACCGUUGGUUCUAAAACAUACACUUACGUGAGCGGAUGGGGAGCCUGGCAUCUCCGGAGGUGCACACCACCCCCACUGCCCAGACACACAAGGAGUCACCUCAUCUCCCCCCUGGGCAUUUCAGUCUCAAGAGAGAGGCUUCCAACAUGUGGAAAAGACGAAGCUGCUGGCCCAGUGGUCACUUCCACAGCCAGGCCAUUCUACAAAGGACAUUGACCGUCAGGGGAUGGCCACGCUUGGGCCGAAGCACACCUGACCAGGGUCAUUGCUAAUAAUCAGACCAACUGGCAAAAAGCCACCCACCUGGUGAAGAGUUAUGGAAGAGAGGACCCAGCCCCCAAGUGUAAUCAGGUCCUGCGGUGCUGGGGCUUAAGGAUUCAGCUUGCCCAAGGGAAGGGGCCAUCACUCCCCGAAGGUGCAGCUAACAGCGUCCAAGGACAGAGCCCGUUUUGUUUCCCAGGCUCCUCAGCUCGUCCAGCACCAGCUUUGCCAGAGCCCCCCAAAUGAUCUUCGCUGCAUAAAGUGGGUCACAUUCCUCCCGCCUACAAGUGCGUCUCCUGUCACCUGUUACCUGCUUCUAAAGCCACAUAAUCGGAGUUGCUACUUGCCUGCUACCAGCAUCCUCCGUACUUGCUGCAGCAGCCUCUUCCAGGCCCGAUUCCUGUGCUGGUCGGAUGUGGUCAGGUGCUGCGUGACAGACACCCCUGGGUGUCCAUGGAUGACCACAGCCGAGGUUCAGCUUCAUAAACCUUUCAUGAUUAAGCUGCCCCUUCACAUUAGAGGCCUUCUGGCUGGGGCUCCGCCCACCGCCAUCCUCAUUCUGCAUCCAGGCUGGAGGUGGGUAAACUGAGGCAGGUUAAAGUGGCUGCCACACGUGUGCGCUUGCAAAGGAGACCAUAAUGUGUAAAAGAAAAUAAAUCGCCAAAAAGGAUGCAGAGCUUCUUCCGACUCUUAUAAACAGUAUCUAUUCAUGCCUGUAUGCACAGAGGACCUGGAAGGUUUCAUAUCAAGCUCUUGAGGCUGAUUCUCUGGGGACCAGAAAUGUGAGAUCAUCGAACCUACUCCCUGACGCCCCGAGGACUUGCCAAGCCAGGCUUUUCUCUCAGGCAUCGCCCCUGAGCCCAGCCGCCGGACCCCGCCAGGGAAGGAACACGCCCCCUCCGCCUCCCCCUGGACGGGCACACGGACACACAGCCUCCUGGUCAGACCCAGGUUCGGAGUGAUGCUGUGAAGGUACGGGAGCAAACCACCACCUGGCGGUCAGUGAUCCAGACCAGGACCCCAGCCAACAAGGUCAAAGGCAGAAUCAGGGUCAUUGGGCCCCAGGAGGCCCAGGGCCAGAGCCCCACUCCUCACUACUGCCUGGUUUCCUGGGAGUAGGCAGCCCCCCUCUUCUGCCCACCUGGGGAGUCACAGGCAGGGAGGUAAUGCAGCGCCCACAAACCCCCUUUUGGACUGUGGGUGUUACUCUUGCUCGAUCAUCACCCCCCCACACACACACCCCAACCCCAAAGAUGGAGCCUCCACAAAGCCCCCUAUUAAGAAAUUGGUCAAUUUCCUGCUAAUUAAAAUAAAUACUAUGCCACA
This is a long non-coding RNA of Talpa occidentalis (Iberian mole), 1813 nucleotides long. RefSeq lists it as uncharacterized. Lineage: Eukaryota; Metazoa; Chordata; Mammalia; Eulipotyphla; Talpidae. The transcript is spliced from 9 exons. The record is from RefSeq and is a predicted model, not a curated record.